CAGGAGUGAAGCAGCUGUGUGUUGGACUGGAGAGUCCAAACUGUAGACUGGAGACUCUGAGAUUGAUUGGCUGCAGUUUGUCAGAGAUCAGCUGGGAUUCUCUGGUGUCAGCUAUGAAAUGCAACCCCUCCCAUCUGAAACAUCUGGACCUGAAUUUCAAUGACUUUCAGCGUCCAGGAGUAAAUCAUCUGUGUGGUUUUCUGGGGAGUCCAGACUGUAGACUGGAAACUCUGAGAUUGAUUAGCUGCAGUUUGUCAGAGAUCAGCUGUGAUUCUCUGGUCUCAGCUCUGAAGUC
Mugil cephalus (flathead mullet) is the source of this 295-nucleotide long non-coding RNA. RefSeq lists it as uncharacterized. The transcript is spliced from 3 exons. The record is from RefSeq and is a predicted model, not a curated record. Lineage: Eukaryota; Metazoa; Chordata; Actinopteri; Mugiliformes; Mugilidae.